GACAACUUGCAUUACAUAGUUAACGAUGUUUCCCUUUUAUUAAUCAGAAACCCACUCUUCCAUUCUUCAACCAUUAUCUUGUUAGCUAAACUCAAUCUCAAAAUGUAAGUGCUUGUCUUUGAUAAAACACAUUAUGUACAUGAAACUUAGCUUGGUGCUCUGGUGGGACAGAAAUGGCAUUCAGGUGGAACUAAUGAGUGCUCCUGAUUAAAGGGAGUCUGCAGGUGCUACUAAUGAUUGUGUAAGAGGAACAGAGGCUAGAGAGUUUCUUUUUUGCUCUUCUUUUUCUCUCCUCUGUGCUUGGAGGGUUUAUUUCUGUCUCUGGAGGAAGGGAAAGGUUUGUUCCUGUGGAGUCAGAAGGGGGCUGUUCUGUGCAAUGGAGCUCUAUUAGUAGUUUUUGCAGUGAAAAUCAAUCUAGGACUUGUUGAGCCCCAGCCUGUGUUGUUAUGAAGGUGUUAGGAAUCCUUUAACGCUUAGACUUCAGAGAAUUGCUUCUAUACCAAGAUCUAAAUCUUUCAUCCUUCUUCAGAUGCUUCACUUAAAUGACUCUAAUCUAGUCUACCUGCAAGAUAACUGACAUAUGCCAACACAGCAGACCUACAGCAUAGGCCCUGAAGGUUGGUGACAGAUGAGUACCAGUGUGUAUGCAUCUCACAUUUACUCUAGCUCUCCGUCCUGUACGCACUGCAGCCUGAGCCUGCAGUUAACAACACAGAAGUGACAUUGCUGACCUCUGUAUACUAAAUUUUGUUUUCCAAUAUUCUUAGUCCUGAAUUUACAAUGUAUC
Long non-coding RNA from Columba livia (rock pigeon), 787 nucleotides. RefSeq lists it as uncharacterized. The transcript has 4 exons. Lineage: Eukaryota; Metazoa; Chordata; Aves; Columbiformes; Columbidae. The record is from RefSeq and is a predicted model, not a curated record.